This 169-nucleotide non-coding RNA is filed under the name bovine gut metagenome. RNAcentral's name for it is "Lysine riboswitch". It matches the Rfam family "Lysine riboswitch aptamer". Rfam says of the family: Riboswitches are metabolite binding domains within certain messenger RNAs that serve as precision sensors for their corresponding targets. Allosteric rearrangement of mRNA structure is mediated by ligand binding, and this results in modulation of gene expression. This family includes riboswitches that sense lysine in a number of genes involved in lysine metabolism, including lysC. The record is from RNAcentral.
AACGGUAGAGGUUGCGUAGAGCAUCAGUAAUCUGUCCGAUACGGCGGACGUAAGUGACGACAGAUGAAAGGGUGAUACGCCGAAGGAACGGUUCAUCCGCAGAUCCGGAUCCUGGGCAUACGAUCAAGAGUCGUAUGACUGUCAUCCUUCACGGGAUGGGGAGCUAUCA